This 123-nucleotide microRNA precursor is filed under the name Podarcis lilfordi (Lilford's wall lizard). Lineage: Eukaryota; Metazoa; Chordata; Lepidosauria; Squamata; Lacertidae. The record is from RNAcentral.
CCAACUAAGUUUGUUCUUGGCAUGAGCUUUUGUGUGCAUGCACACUUCUUCAGUUACACAAGUGGUAUAUCUGAAGAAGUGUGCAUGCACACGAAAGCUCAUACCAAGAACAAACUUAGUUGG